UCAAAGAAGAUUCGUUUACAUUUCUCGUAAUAUUUAAACUGCGGUAGUAUCUAUCGAACCAGCAUAUCGAGCUAUCACAAAGUAGAGUGUGUUCAGAAAGACUUCAACUUAAGUCCAAGUAAUUGCAAGAAAGUAUCAUUCAUAGUCGAGCGACUUCUUCCUACUGAUAACGAACACAAACAGCCGUUAAGCGAAGUGGAAAGAAGAAAAAACGCAUGGCGUCCGCAAACUUUCAUCAAGGACGCUCGAUUAGAAUCGACAAGAAAACUUGCAACAGGUCAGAAGAUUCGCCUUGCAUACACGAUGGUUCUUUCGAGUUUGAACUGUAGAAAUCGAAUUGGGAAGUAUCGCCAACUAGUUUCGUGUCGAUAGUGUCUACUGGAUAUGAAGGAGUAACGGAAAUCGGCAUCAAUACACGCUCGGAUCUCACACGCAUUGGUAUGCGUGUCACAACGGUCUCGUUGUUCCCGUUUGACGUCCCGCGACGGGAAAAUAUCACGGAUAAAGUGGAGACAUAUUUGAAAAGCAGUCGCGGUGCCGGAGCGAAAAUAACAGAGAGAACGAUGAUACUACUGCCUCGUGUAUCCGAGAGUAUGCACGGCAAUGCACUCGCAAACUGCAUGUUUCUCCAAGGCGACUCGACGGUGAAAAGUUUCUCACAAUUAUAAGAGAAAGAGUUGCGGAGAAAGAGAGAGAGAGAGAGAGAAAGAUGCAUUGGAAAAUAAAAAACAUUCAACGAAAAUAUGUGGAAUCAGUUAUAAUCUCCGUGGAAAAAAAGAUUACCAUAAAUAUAAUAUUCCUAUCUGGCAAGUGAUAUUUAAAAUCGCAGUAACAUGAAUUAGCAUUAAAUAGCAAUGUAAAUUAAAGCUUUUGUCUCGCGUCAGUGAAAGACGUUAUUUUGCUUAUUGAUGAGCCAUUCCAAAGUAAAUUAAAAUACAGCAAAAGAGAGAGGCAAUUGUUUUGGGAUAGCUUCUUCUUUUCGAGCGCCGCAUAAAGCUGGACCACAGAACUGAAUGAUUAAUUCGAGAAUUAAAUUUUCAAAGGUAGCACGAUCGUUAUUUACUCUUUUCUUUCCUAUCGUCUCUUGCUUUUUAUAAUCGGAUUCCGUCGUUGGUAUCCUUCGAUAUGAUAUCUUCUCAUUAUAACUGAAAUUGUUUUUCGCGUUGUUUCUUUGUCUUUAAGAAAAUUAGCAUUUAUCCGUCGGCGAAGUCGAUUGUGAUUACCGUUACGUGUAUAAUUCACAAUAAAGUGUCUGCCUGUUUAUUACGUUUCAUUAAAUCUCCGUGUUUGAUCGGAUUAUUUCGAUUGUUGCGCAUUCGUUAUUUCGGCAUGCAAAUGUGACACUGGCGAAAAAAAAUGAAAUGUUAGUUUUAGAUACAAACUUACGGAUAUUUAAAAGCAAGUGUGUUUUUUAUCGUAUUAUUAAAUAUAUAAAUAUACAAGAAAAAAACUUAACACGCGUUUAAUGUAUAUAAGAAUACUAUUCGUAAAUAUGAUAACGAUACACUAUUGUGUAAAUUCCUUCUUUAAAUUUCUCUGAUAUAGACUCAUUACACAGUACAAUAAAAAAAACACUAAAGAUAGUGAUGAUUAAAAAAGUAGACUAUCCAUCAACAACUUUCAAAUUUUUGCACAAAAUC
Molecule: long non-coding RNA, 1640 nt
Organism: Formica exsecta
Lineage: Eukaryota; Metazoa; Arthropoda; Insecta; Hymenoptera; Formicidae
Exons: 3
Source: RefSeq, a predicted model, not a curated record